CUUUUUGUUCUUUCCUUUCUUUCUUUCUUUCUUUCUUUUUCUUCCUUCCUUUCUUUCUCUUCUUCCCCUUCUCCAUUCCUUCCUUUCUUUUCUUUUCUUCUCACUUCCUUUCUUACUUUCCUUUUUUUCUUCUUCCCUUCCUUUAUCCCUUUCUUUUCUUAUUCUUUGCUUCUGUUCUUUUUUCCUUUUUCUUCUUCUUCCCUGCUUAGAUGGGUUUGAAGUGCCACACCAUCCCAGUUGCCUAGGGAUGGCAAAAUUAAUCCGACCUGAUGGGUAUACACCCUACCUGAACCCGGUCAAAUCCGAAAAAUAGGGUUUGACUGGGUUUGGGUUCGGGUUUGGGUAAAACCCGAAAACUAUAGUAUGGGUAUGGGUAGGGUAUGGGUAGUGCUAUUUUCUAUCCGAACCCGACCCGAACCUAUGAGUAUGGAUAAUAUCCGAACCCAUAUCCGAAUACACACACACACACACACACACACAUAUAUAUAUAUACAUAUACAUAUCCGAAUAUAUAUAUACAUAUACGUAUAUAUAUAUAUAUAUAUACAUAUACAUAUAUACACACACACAC
Molecule: long non-coding RNA, 571 nt
Filed under: Elaeis guineensis (African oil palm)
Lineage: Eukaryota; Viridiplantae; Streptophyta; Magnoliopsida; Arecales; Arecaceae
Description: long non-coding RNA (EGUI_LNC026902)
Source: RNAcentral